GUCUACGGCCAUGCCACCCUGAACGGCCGGAUCCCGUCUGAUCUCGGAAGCUAAGCAGGAUCGGGCCUGGUGAGUACUUGGAUGGGAGACCACCUAGGAAGACCGGAUGCUGCAGGCG
This 118-nucleotide ribosomal RNA is filed under the name Pteropus alecto (black flying fox). Lineage: Eukaryota; Metazoa; Chordata; Mammalia; Chiroptera; Pteropodidae. The record is from RNAcentral.